RNAcentral lists this ribosomal RNA (826 nucleotides) under uncultured Campylobacter sp. Its description in RNAcentral is "bacterial SSU rRNA". It matches the Rfam family "Bacterial small subunit ribosomal RNA", at positions 647 to 1476 of the family's 1533-position model. The record is from RNAcentral. Lineage: Bacteria; Pseudomonadati; Campylobacterota; Epsilonproteobacteria; Campylobacterales; Campylobacteraceae.
UGAGGGAGAGGCAGAUGGAAUUGGUGGUGUAGGGGUAAAAUCCGUAGAUAUCACCAAGAAUACCCAUUGCGAAGGCGAUCUGCUGGAACUCAACUGACGCUAAGGCGCGAAAGCGUGGGGAGCAAACAGGAUUAGAUACCCUGGUAGUCCACGCCCUAAACGAUGUACACUAGUUGUUGGGAUGCUAGUCAUCUCAGUAAUGCAGCUAACGCAUUAAGUGUACCGCCUGGGGAGUACGGUCGCAAGAUUAAAACUCAAAGGAAUAGACGGGGACCCGCACAAGCGGUGGAGCAUGUGGUUUAAUUCGAAGAUACGCGAAGAACCUUACCUGGGCUUGAUAUCCUAAGAACCUUAUAGAGAUAUGAGGGUGCUAGCUUGCUAGAACUUAGAGACAGGUGCUGCACGGCUGUCGUCAGCUCGUGUCGUGAGAUGUUGGGUUAAGUCCCGCAACGAGCGCAACCCACGUAUUUAGUUGCUAACGGUUCGGCCGAGCACUCUAAAUAGACUGCCUUCGUAAGGAGGAGGAAGGUGUGGACGACGUCAAGUCAUCAUGGCCCUUAUGCCCAGGGCGACACACGUGCUACAAUGGCAUAUACAAUGAGACGCAAUACCGCGAGGUGGAGCAAAUCUAUAAAAUAUGUCCCAGUUCGGAUUGUUCUCUGCAACUCGAGAGCAUGAAGCCGGAAUCGCUAGUAAUCGUAGAUCAGCCAUGCUACGGUGAAUACGUUCCCGGGUCUUGUACUCACCGCCCGUCACACCAUGGGAGUUGAUUUCACUCGAAGCCGGAAUACUAAACUAGUUACCGUCCACAGUGGAAUCAGCGACU